GAUGAACGCUAGCUACAGGCUUAACACAUGCAAGUCGAGGGGAAACGGCAUCGUAAGCUUGCUUUUGAUGGGCGUCGACCGGCGCACGGGGGAGUAACGCGUAUCCAACCUGCCCAUCACUUGGGAAUAACCUUGCGAAAGUAAGACUAAUGCCCAAUGACAUCCCACGAAGGCAUCCGAAUGGGAUUAAAGAUUUAUCGGUGAUGGAUGGGGAUGCGUCUGAUUAGCUUGUUGGCGGGGUGACGGCCCACCAAGGCAACGAUCAGUAGGGGUUCUGAGAGGAAGGUCCCCGAGAUGGGAACUGAGACACGGUCCAAACUGCGACGGGAGGCAGCAGUGAGGAAUAUUGGUGAAGGGGCGAGAGCCUGAACCAGCCAAGUAGGGUGCAGGAUGACGGCGCUAGGGGUUGUAAACUGCUUGUAGAAGGGAAUAAUGUGGGUAAAGUGUGACUUUUUGCAUGUACCUUAUGAAUAAGGACCGGCUAAUUCCGUG
This 492-nucleotide ribosomal RNA is filed under the name uncultured bacterium. RNAcentral describes it as "partial 16S ribosomal RNA". It matches the Rfam family "Bacterial small subunit ribosomal RNA", at positions 28 to 507 of the family's 1533-position model. The record is from RNAcentral.